This 1295-nucleotide ribosomal RNA is filed under the name Staphylococcus chromogenes. RNAcentral describes it as "partial 23S ribosomal RNA". It matches the Rfam family "Bacterial large subunit ribosomal RNA", at positions 1628 to 2925 of the family's 2925-position model. The record is from RNAcentral. Lineage: Bacteria; Bacillati; Bacillota; Bacilli; Caryophanales; Staphylococcaceae.
UAGAAGAUUGGUGCCCGUACCGCAAACCGACACAGGUAGUCAAGAUGAGAAUUCUAAGGUGAGCGAGCGAACUCUCGUUAAGGAACUCGGCAAAAUGACCCCGUAACUUCGGGAGAAGGGGUGCUCUUUGAGGUUCACGCUUCGAAGAGCCGCAGUGAAUAGGCCCAAGCGACUGUUUAUCAAAAACACAGGUCUCUGCUAAACCGUAAGGUGACGUAUAGGGGCUGACGCCUGCCCGGUGCUGGAAGGUUAAGAGGAGUGGUUAGCAUUAGCGAAGCUACGAAUCGAAGCCCCAGUAAACGGCGGCCGUAACUAUAACGGUCCUAAGGUAGCGAAAUUCCUUGUCGGGUAAGUUCCGACCCGCACGAAAGGCGUAACGAUUUGGGCACUGUCUCAACGAGAGACUCGGUGAAAUCAUAGUACCGGUGAAGAUGCCGGUUACCCGCGACAGGACGGAAAGACCCCGUGGAGCUUUACUGUAGCCUGAUAUUGAAAUUCGGUACAGUUUGUACAGGAUAGGUAGGAGCCUUAGAAACGUGAGCGCUAGCUUACGUGGAGGCAUUGGUGGGAUACUACCCUAAUUGUAUUGGAUUUCUAACCCGCAACUCUUAUCGAGUUGGGAGACAGUGUCAGGCGGGCAGUUUGACUGGGGCGGUCGCCUCCUAAAGUGUAACGGAGGCGCUCAAAGGUUCCCUCAGAAUGGUUGGAAAUCAUUCAUAGAGUGUAAAGGCAUAAGGGAGCUUGACUGCGAGACCUACAAGUCGAGCAGGGUCGAAAGACGGACUUAGUGAUCCGGUGGUUCCGCAUGGAAGGGCCAUCGCUCAACGGAUAAAAGCUACCCCGGGGAUAACAGGCUUAUCUCCCCCAAGAGUUCACAUCGACGGGGAGGUUUGGCACCUCGAUGUCGGCUCAUCGCAUCCUGGGGCUGUAGUCGGUCCCAAGGGUUGGGCUGUUCGCCCAUUAAAGCGGUACGCGAGCUGGGUUCAGAACGUCGUGAGACAGUUCGGUCCCUAUCCGUCGUGGGCGUAGGAAAUUUGAGAGGCGCUGUCCUUAGUACGAGAGGACCGGGAUGGACAUACCUCUGGUGUACCAGUUGUCGUGCCAACGGCAUAGCUGGGUAGCUAUGUAUGGACGGGAUAAGUGCUGAAAGCAUCUAAGCAUGAAGCCCCCCUCAAGAUGAGAUUUCCCAACUUCGGUUAUAAGAUCCCUCAAAGAUGAUGAGGUUAAUAGGUUCGAGGUGGAAGCGUAGCGAUACGUGGAGCUGACGAAUACUAAUCGAUCGAAGACUUAAUCAA